AAAUUGAAGAGUUUGAUCAUGGCUCAGAUUGAACGCUGGCGGCAGGCCUAACACAUGCAAGUCGAACGGUAACAGGAAGCAGCUUGCUGCUUUGCUGACGAGUGGCGGACGGGUGAGUAAUGUCUGGGAAACUGCCUGAUGGAGGGGGAUAACUACUGGAAACGGUGGCUAAUACCGCAUAACGUCGCAAGACCAAAGAGGGGGACCUUCGGGCCUCUUGCCAUCAGAUGUGCCCAGAUGGGAUUAGCUAGUUGGUGAGGUAACGGCUCACCAAGGCGACGAUCCCUAGCUGGUCUGAGAGGAUGACCAGCCACACUGGAACUGAGACACGGUCCAGACUCCUACGGGAGGCAGCAGUGGGGAAUAUUGCACAAUGGGCGCAAGCCUGAUGCAGCCAUGCCGCGUGUAUGAAGAAGGCCUUAGGGUUGUAAAGUACUUUCAGCGGGGAGGAAGGUGUUGCGGUUAAUAACC
Molecule: ribosomal RNA, 471 nt
Filed under: Salmonella enterica subsp. enterica serovar Thompson
Lineage: Bacteria; Pseudomonadati; Pseudomonadota; Gammaproteobacteria; Enterobacterales; Enterobacteriaceae
Also listed under: 1 other name
Description: partial 16S ribosomal RNA
Rfam family: Bacterial small subunit ribosomal RNA
Source: RNAcentral